AGUUUGAUCCUGGCUCAGAUUGAACGCUGGCGGCAUGCCUUACACAUGCAAGUCGAACGGCAGCACGGGAGCAAUCCUGGUGGCGAGUGGCGAACGGGUGAGUAAUAUAUCGGAACGUGCCCAGUCGUGGGGGAUAACGUAGAGAAAUUUACGCUAAUACCGCAUACGAUCUAAGGAUGAAAGCGGGGGACCUUCGGGCCUCGCGCGAUUGGAGCGGCUGAUAUCAGAUUAGGUUGUUGGUGAGGUAAAAGCUCACCAAGCCGACGAUCUGUAGCUGGUUUGAGAGAACGACCAGCCACACUGGGACUGAGACACGGCCCAGACUCCUACGGGAGGCAGCAGUGGGGAAUUUUGGACAAUGGGCGAAAGCCUGAUCCAGCAAUGCCGCGUGCAGGAAGAAGGCCUUCGGGUUGUAAACUGCUUUUGUACGGAACGAAAAGGUCUGCCCUAAUACGGCGGGCCCAUGACGGUACCGUAAGAAUAAGCACCGGCUAACUACGUGCCAGCAGCCGCGGUAAUACGUAGGGUGCGAGCGUUAAUCGGAAUUACUGGGCGUAAAGCGUGCGCAGGCGGUUAUGUAAGACAGUUGUGAAAUCCCCGGGCUCAACCUGGGAAUUGCAUCUGUGACUGCAUAGCUAGAGUACGGUAGAGGGGGAUGGAAUUCCGCGUGUAGCAGUGAAAUGCGUAGAUAUGCGGAGGAACACCGAUGGCGAAGGCAAUCCCCUGGACCUGUACUGACGCUCAUGCACGAAAGCGUGGGGAGCAAACAGGAUUAGAUACCCUGGUAGUCCACGCCCUAAACGAUGUCAACUGGUUGUUGGGUGCAUUAGUACUCAGUAACGAAGCUAACGCGUGAAGUUGACCGCCUGGGGAGUACGGCCGCAAGGUUGAAACUCAAGGAAUUGACGGGGACCCGCACAAGCGGUGGAUGAUGGUGGU
RNAcentral lists this ribosomal RNA (939 nucleotides) under uncultured bacterium. Its description in RNAcentral is "bacterial SSU rRNA". It matches the Rfam family "Bacterial small subunit ribosomal RNA", at positions 10 to 946 of the family's 1533-position model. The record is from RNAcentral.